Molecule: non-coding RNA, 146 nt
Organism: Gorilla gorilla gorilla (western lowland gorilla)
Lineage: Eukaryota; Metazoa; Chordata; Mammalia; Primates; Hominidae
Rfam family: Metazoan signal recognition particle RNA
About the family: The signal recognition particle (SRP) is a universally conserved ribonucleoprotein.
Source: Rfam
GCCGGGUGUGGUGGUGGACGCCUGUAAUCCCAGCUACUUGGGAGGCUGAGACAGGAUAAUUGCUCGAACCCAGGAGGUUGCAGUGAGCCGAGAUCGUGCCAUUGCACUCCAUCCAACCUGGGUAACAGAGCAAGACUCUGUCUCCA